CAGCAUUUGAGACUAUGCUAAAUCUUGCUCAUCGUCUAGCCCCACCUCUUUUUAGCUAGGUUCUUUAUCAUGUCCUUGGUGUUCGUCCAGGCUUAUUAUCCACUAAUUGGGCCAUUGUUGAACGAGUUAUGCCUUGGUAUCCAAGCUAAUGGAUUGGCCAAAUCCCUUUCUGGAGUUUAUGCUAAGGAUUUGCACGCCUGCUUGACCGCUAUAAAAUGCAUUCCUUCUAUCCCUGGCCAUGUGCUUCGGAAUGAUGCUUUGAUCAUGACAAGUAUUUGGAUUGCUUGGAAGAUGUCUAUCCCUGGCCAUGUGCUUCAAGCCUUUGCUUCUAUCUUC
Molecule: long non-coding RNA, 336 nt
Organism: Zingiber officinale
Lineage: Eukaryota; Viridiplantae; Streptophyta; Magnoliopsida; Zingiberales; Zingiberaceae
Exons: 3
Source: RefSeq, a predicted model, not a curated record